GAGCAUCCUCCCCUUGCUGUGCUCCUCUGGUCUCCAAGGCACCCUCCCCAUGCGCUGCUUCCUUCCACUUACCGCCCUCGCACGGCACCACAUCCUGAGCUCUGCUUGUUCCCUCUUCAGACUGGCAGGUGGUUAUAGAGGUGUUUGGGGUGUCAGCUCUGAAAUGCUAAAAAUAAAACCAGGCUUUCUAUCCUGGGAUGUCUCAUUAGUUUGCUUACAAAUGAGUCCCCCUGCAGUUUUUCAGCAAUUGGCUAACAAGCUCUAAUUUGAGCGUUUGGGCUGGACCUUGGCUCAGUGGGAGCAGACGCGGAGCAGACGCCUUCUCGGAGCUGCCUGUUUGGGGAAGCUGGUCGUUUCCACUCUAGCUCAGCCUCCCAGAACAGGGAAGCUGCAGGAAAGUUGACAAAAGCACAGCAAAGCAGGGAGAGCCUCCUCGGUAGAGAGCAACGACCAGUCCUUCUAGGUCAUGUGGAGUGGGCCAGCUUUAAUGAACCUGUCUAAAAGGAAGGAAGAGAAAGAGCUCAGCUCCUUAGGGGAACAAGGUGGACCUUGGCAGCUGUCUCACUCCUCACCAGCUCUUCACCUCAGAUCUUGUCCUGACUUCCUGGUCCACUAACGGCCUCCUGGAUAGAAGAGUCAGGCAGAGAACAAAGAUUGGUGGCUUCCUCCUGAGCACACUGGGAUGUGGCAUUACAUCGGGGCUGCUGAGUGCCCUUACCUUCAGCUGCCCAGAUGCAGAGGCAGGUAUUUGGCUAGAAGUUAUCACUGAUACGUUUCCAGAACACAUGGAGGCCAAGGCAGACAAAAGUAAAGAUGGAAACCAGACCAGUAAAUAAGUCCUUUGAUGAACUUCUGAGUCUCUACAGAUGAAGGCAAAGCUCCCUCACAGUUGCAGGCAACGUCUCAUCUUUUGUCACUUCUGGCAUGACACUGCACAGCCACAGCCAGUACGGUAUCUCUGCCUUUGCCCAUGUCCUGCCUUCUUUCUCCCUGGUCGGUAUCUCCUCACCUCAACCAGCUUGGCCAGCUCCUUGGUCAUUGGGGUUGCACCCACCCAGGCAUGUGCCUGGCUCCGCACAACCUCAGAAGCUCUCAGUACAGUGCAGGACCAGAGGUUGAAACCAAUGAAAGGUUGUUAAAUAAAGAGAAAAUGUUUAAUGCUGAGAACAAAGACUAGGAAAGAGAUGUCUAAUAAGAAAUUUUACAGUGAAAUAC
This is a long non-coding RNA of Homo sapiens (human), 1215 nucleotides long. Ensembl annotates it as long intergenic non-protein coding RNA 544. The record is from Ensembl. NCBI's taxonomy places the organism in Eukaryota, Metazoa, Chordata, Mammalia, Primates, Hominidae.